AGGGGAAGGGGAAGAGGAGAGGGAGAGGAGGGAGAGGGGAGGGGGAGAGAGAAAUAAAAUAACUAAAUUUGUAUUAUCUUUAAUCAGGGGCUUGCUGUUACACAGAGACUUCACUUAUUAGGAAUACCUUUUGAAUGCUGACAUGUCAAGAGGAAUAGAACCUUUGCAGUUGUUUCAGCAGGCACCAGGACAACAACAUUUUGAUCACAAAUCACCUUAGUGGUUACAACUUGUUUACAGUAACACUGCAAUUCAGGAGAUGCUAAGAAUUAGAGCUUUGCCAAAAUGUCAAAUGACAUAGAGGUAUUUCACAAGAAAAUCCUUAAUAUUAAGGUUGAAAGUAUUAAUAACACAAUGAACUCAAUUUUGACAUUCAGUCAACAUAGCAUUGUAUCUAAAUAUUGCACACAAGCAAAUAAAAAUGCAUCUGUAUUGAAAUGUAGAUAGUUUCUUAAUUCUCACCUUCUCAUUAAUUUAAAAAUAAUGGUGGAUCUGAGCUCAGUCAUGAGCCAAGUCAAAGGAAGCAACUUUGACCAAGUUUUAAAUUGUUAUUAUUUUUCAAAAUAAAUAAAUUCUACUAAGACUAAGCUUAAAGGGGGUAUAGCAUGAUGAGACUUUGUGUCUUUCCUGUGGCCUGACUCGGGGUCAAUUGGGAAUAUUACAACUACGGACGAUGCUACCGCAGUAUUCACAUGCAUGCAACAUACACAAAUAUUGGGAUCAAUUGCAACUCCUUAUUAGACAGGUCCUGGUUUAUUAGACAGUUUAUAUGGAAGAGAGAUCCCACUUUUAUUAUUGCAAUGACGCAUUAGAAAAUAAAUGCAGCCUCUUAUGAUAAUACCACAAUACACACUAGUUUUCUUCCAUAAUCAUUCAUUACAAAAGAUUUUUUUUUAAAGACUAUUGUGCCAUCAAAAUUGUGAUAAACACCACAACACAUGCCUAUAAAUACAUGAUAUCAAACUUAUAAAUAAAAUAAAAGAAGUACUGUACAAUAUACAAAGAGGAAAUCAUGCCCAAGUUGGGUUCUAUGUAAUUACUCAUACAUAUUCAAUCUAAAAACAAUUCUCUCUCUUUCUUUUCCCCAGUGCCAGGGAGAAGAUUGAGAGAAAAUAGUCUGAUUUUUAAAAAGAAAAAUAAUUGACAAAGCUGAAAGGGUAUAGAGUUGGAAUGCUAGCUCAACUUCCCUAUUUCAGGUAAUUUUGAGCUUUGACAAGGCAUGAUUACGGCCUCACAAAUCCAAGUAUGUCUGGCAAGGCUAAUGAAGAAUAAUGGCACUUAUAAUUUUCUUACUGCAACCCUCAAAAAAGAAUAAGAAAUACACAAAAAAA
Molecule: long non-coding RNA, 1331 nt
Organism: Strongylocentrotus purpuratus (purple sea urchin)
Lineage: Eukaryota; Metazoa; Echinodermata; Echinoidea; Camarodonta; Strongylocentrotidae
Exons: 2
Source: RefSeq, a predicted model, not a curated record